AAGGUAGAGAUUGAAGAAACAAUAGAGUUGAGUUUGAACAAUUAAAUGAUUUAAUUGUUAAUGGCUAGGAUUCAUUAAUAUGUUAAUUAUUCAAACGAAUAAGUUCGUUUUAGACCUUGGGUUAGUUUUGGGCCUCAAGGCCCAAUGGGCUUCGAAUGUCAACCCCAUUGACUUAAGUUGUAUGACAACUUAAUAAAUAAAGAUUCAAGAGGGCCCAACCAGCCCAAAGACCAUAGAAGGCCGGCCAUAUUGAUGAAAUAGGGUUUUGGUUCUUUUUGUCACUUAAGUGAAGUGACUAUAUAAAGAACUUUAUAGCCAAAAUUCAUAAAGGGUUAUUUUAGAGGAAAUUGGAUAGAACAAGUCUCUCCCUUUCUCUCUAGGAGGCGGGCCCCUUUGAGGAGAUUACCUAGCAAUCUUCCCUCCUCCAAGGUUACUCUCUUCUUCUAGUCUCUCCUUGGCAUGGAGACUUAGAGGUUAUCUAUUUUGGCAACUUGGAGAAUCCAUUCUACCACCCUCAUCCAAGAAAUCCAUGGAGCUAAGAAGUAAGGAAUGAAGGCCCUAUCUCUUGGGUGAUUAGCCUUUUCUUAUGCAAAGAGGAAUCAACAAAGGUAUAAUAUUUCUCAACUCACUUUGUUCUUGAGUUGAGUCUUGAUUCACCACACUCACUUGGCCUUGAAUUUCAUGGGUAAAGUUUUGUUUUUGAGUGCAUACAAGCAUGAUUCCACCUUUUAAUUGUUAAUUGCAUGCAUAGAUGUUACUCAAAUGAACUAGUUUUCUCAAAUAUUUCCUUCAAGUGGUAUCAGAGCCUAGGUCUAGUAGUUGGUGAAUGCUUUUGGGUUUUGUAGUUAAUAGUCUUUGAUUUGAAUGUUGUAAUGGUUACAAGCUUUAUUCUUGCUUCUUUGAAUGUAAAUUGUGUUAGAAAAUUUGUCAUCUCAAAUGUUGUAGAUGUAGUUCAUAUGAGCAUGAAUUUUGGAGAUAAAAUUUGGUGCCAUGUUUAUAGGGAAAUUCGGCCAAAUCCAAAGGGUGGAUUUUUGGGUUCAUUUUUGUCUUGUUAAAAGUGUUUUAAAGUGACUUUUGGAACCCCUAAGUACCCUAGGAUGUUAACCCCCUUUUGAGUAGUGAAAAUUUGAGCUUUAUUGAGUGAAAACAUUCAUGGAGCUCUUAUGGGUUUUUCAUGGAUGUUCUUCAAUAUUCUUGCUUUGUUCAUACCAAGAACAAAAAGUUUGGUGAUUUAAUUCAAUUUUUUGGUUGAUUACAUAAAGUCUUUGUUUUGUGUUGGUUGGUAUGACUUUUCAAUCAACAAGACAUUUUUUUUAAAGGUGAUUGGAAAGUUGAGUGUUUGAAAUGAUGUUAGUCAUAGUUGGUGUGUACUUUGCUUUCACACCCAUACCUAUUUUAUUUCAACACCUUAACUAUUUUUCAACUUACUUGACUUUGUCUUUUGUCAAAAACCACUCCCUCACACUACCAUGACCGGCCACCCUAUUAAAGUAGGGUACUUUUGGGGUUUUUAUACAAUUAAUUAAAGUUUUGAUACUUUAUUGUAUUUGCACAUUAACCCGAAAGUUUACGUUUUUACGUAAAGGCCUAAAAACACUAAAGGACAAAUUGUUUUGCUCCUUUAAUGAAGUUUUUGCAUUUGUUGAAAUUUUUGGGUUCUAGUUGUAAUUACAUGAAGUAGUGGACUUUUAUGUUUUUACAAACUGACCUCAAGAGUUUUGUGUUUUGCAAUAUAGCCUAAAAAGUUGAGGUUAUUGCAUUUUGGCCCAAAUUAGUUAAGAACAAAAUAGUUUUGUAUUUUUAAAUGAGAAUUGGAUUUUCAUUUCAUUUAGCUCUAUCUAAAUCAAUUCUAUGGAUACAUAAACUAAAUGACAAUGUUGCAUUCAAGUUUAAUUAGUUAAAGCGUUAAUUAAUUAAAGAAAGAGUGAUUAUGAACAUAAGCCUAUGAUAAUGGAGCUAUGUGAAAUGCCGUCUCUCAAAUUUGUUUGAACCAUGAGAAUGUGUAGAUUAGAUUUUGGUUGUAAUUUGAUAUGAUCAAAUAUUGUAAAAGAGCUUAAGCUCUUCUUUACUUUAAAGUAAUUUGUUUUGAUCAAAUGUUGUAAAAGAGCAUAAGUUCUUCUUUACUUUGAAGUACUCCUUUCUUGUGUUUAUUUGAUAUGCAUGAAAUUGGAGUAGUAGGGUCCAACGCCCAAUAAGAAAACAUGACUUAAUGUGAUUAAACGCAUAACUAAAAUCAAUCAUCAUCCCUAGACCGAGAUCCAACACUAGGCUCGUGUUGGAUCGAAUCAAAGGUUCAUAGUCAUCCUAAGGCCCUAUGGAAACUAUAUAGUCCAUCAAUGAAUGCAAAGCUUAUGUUAGUAAUACCAUAUAUUAUUGCUUUAAAAACCGUUUUACAAGCAUAGUGGGAGUAUCAUAUACUACUAAAUCAAUCACAUGAACCAAUAGCUGUAAUAAGACCAAAUUGUUUUAAUAGGAUUAAAAUGCAUGAUAAUAUGUGAUGAGACCUAAAAACCCUCAACCAAACAAUUAUUAAGUUGACAAGCGUGAGAGUGCUAUGAACACUUUCAUGGCCUUCCACCGUGGUAGGCUUCGAUCGUUUGUGACUCGUACACUGACUUCACCCUAUCAUGGGGGAGUACAAAGUGCGUGCUUACACUCAGGAGGAGUCAUAUACGCAUACAUGAUGUUGUGAAGAUAGGCAAUGAGAAUGAUCAACAUCAUAUCAUUGUGAGGUUGUUCUUGAACCCCUACCCGAACUUGUAUGGUGGGAAUGACUUAACUAAGUGCAAUGGAGCCAACAUCAUAUCAUUGUGAGGCAUCAUUCUCUAGAGGCCAAAUAAGAUGGGUACUUGCAAGAGAUGCAAAUGAGUAUGCGUACUCUCUCAUUAUUGUUGAUGCUAGCCAACAUCAUAUCAUUGUGAGGUGGGCUUGGUAAUAGUGAGCCUCACAUACCCUACUAAGAAUUUCCUCCAAAACUCUCGAAUUCUGAUAAGAGAAAUGGAAUUUGACAAAAAUAGUGGGUGGCGCUAUUUGAUUUAAAGACUGGGAUCAAAUGGCUUAAAAUCAAUCAAGAUAUAUUUGUUAUGUAUUUGUUUACCGAUAUAUUUGCAAACGCUAUCCAAAACUUGAUAAAGAAAAGCCAAAGGCUUUAGUUUCCGAACCUGGUGCCACAAUCCCAUAGAUUGUCUUGAAUGGAUUGUAUAUGUACCUAAGUAGUCUCAUCCUCACAAUCUUCCUAUUGAUAAUGUAUCAUUGGAAGAAGAUGUUAGAUAAGUCUAUCAUAAGGAGGACAACAUUUUUAGUGUCAUAAUUCUUCCUUUACAAAUCGUUGUAUGAAGAAAUAAGAGUUGCUUUGAACAACCCUUAGUUAACAUAAACACUAGUGCUUGUUUCUUUGUUAAAUGAACAAGGAACUUGAGAAGUAAGGACAAGGGCAUGGACACUUUAUGUGCCAUGAUUCUUCACUUACAAAUUGAUCAUACACCAUGUAAGGUAGAGAUUGAAGAAACCUACUGGAUCGUACCUCGGGACCAACCAGAUUAACUAGAUCGACUGGAUUAUCCGGCCUGUGGUCCAUUUCUACUGGAGCAGUGGCGGCUGAAAUAAGAGGCCAGGGAAUCGAACGGGGUGCAUUCAACACCACCUUAUGACUUCUAAUUAGAUGCGACAUAUGCCCAAUAAGAAGAUACUAAAUUGCUCUCUCGACUGUUGGUUGUACAAGCAACCAGUCAUAAUCCUUCUAAAACUUCUAUAGUAUUUAUCAAAUUAAUCAUAUAAGCUUUUCCCAUUUAUAGUAGAAACUUUAAAAAAUAAUAAAUAAAAAGAAUAACACUGAAUCAAGGACAUAAGAAAAAUUCUAGUUCUAUUGGAAAUUUGUACAAUAAAGUUUUGUGUUAAAGAAGAAAAACAGUGUAUCAAUUAUGAAAGAAAGAAGGCACAUAGGGUUUAAGCCACAAAAGCCUACUUACUAGAUGCAUCCAAGUAAAUCAGCCAUUUAUACCUUAAGGAGGUUUUCAGGGAACUGGUUUCACAAGACUUUGAAAACAAGCAUCAUAGUUGUUUGAAUUAAAAUCAAGCAACUACAAUAGUAAAAACAAGCAGAUUCACCAUCAACUCAUUAAAUUAAAAUUAGCAUAGUAGUUUGAAUCUUAGCGUAAGAAAGAUGGAAUGCCAAAUGGCCAACUAAAAGGACUAUAUUAACUGGAAAAUGGCCAACUCAAAGGACCAUAUUUGCUAGAAAAUCGCCAACAAAAAGUAGCAAGGACUUCCAUUUAUUCUCAGUCUAGAGAAGUAUGCUUCAUGUAUGACAAUAAGUUGGAUAAAGUUGAUAUAAAUAUGAUGGAUGCUCAUAUUACAAUUCUAGUUCUGAAGCCUCAUGAUGAAAUUCGUAUAUAAUUGGGAAAGUUCCACUUAAGUAGACAUACCUAAUAUACACAAGUAAGAAAGAAGAAAGCUCACUUUAUACUUUUUAUCUUUUUUUUUUGUUAGGGCAAAAUGUGCAUAACACCAUUGGGUGUGACCAUAUAACAAUGCACGGAUAUAACAAAUGAUGAGGAAUAAAGCAACACAAAACUUUAUUAAAAAAAGCAACACGAAUAUGAACAUGUAUUUCAUCCUUGUGUUCAAUCAAUUAGUAGCAUUCUUUGCCCAAGUGUUCAAUCAGUUAAACUAAAAAUAUAACAAUGCAUGAAUAUGACAGCUUGUAAAACAUGUAUUUCAUCUUUCUUGAAAGGAUAGCAAACCUUAUUAAAGAAAGCAAUUGCAAUAAGAAUUAGUUCGGAAUCAAAUCAACACAAUACAAACAUAGCAUCCUUAUCUUUACCCCCCAAUAUAACUAAACACUAAAGCAGCCCUUUAUAAUUAUAGUGAAUAACGUAGUAGGACUCCGUACAUGUUUGUACAAUUCAUACACAAAUGAACAGAACGACUUAAUCACUAGUGAAAAAAUCAUAACCAUUGAAGUGCUUUGAUCAUGCUUAAUAGUAGUAGCAUCUACUAUAUUGAUUUCACAAUUAGUGACAAGCUCAAACUUUAACUCUUCUAAUCAGCAUUUACAUUCCCAAUAACCGACAUCAAGAAUUUUAACACAACUUAUGCUUAUUUACAAUUUUAAAAUCCUUUAGUAAGUUAGAUAGUGCUUCAACCAUUAAAGAUCGUUGAACUGUACAACAAACAUCACCCAAUGUCCACCUCAAAACAGGCAAAUUGAAUUGUAGCUCAAAUAUAACAAUGUGAUCAAUGUUAUCUUCACCCAAUCUCCACUAUACUUGAUAGACACAAAAAUGAUUCUAUCCCAAACUAUUGUCAAGAAGACAAAAUUUAAAAGAAAACUGAAAUAAACCCAUUGAAUGCACAAAAUUCAAGAUGAACCAAGGUGGAAAAUAAAAGUGUAGCUAAAUAGAUUCAAGUGUUUUACAAAAAAACAACUCAACAACAUAUUACAGUCAAAGAAAAAUUAGUACCCUUCUCAAACCAACUGCUAAUGUUGAUAUGACCAUAUUGCAGUUAAAUAUGUUUGUUAAAUUAAACUCAAACAACUCAAAGGAAACCCUUCUCAAACCAAUUGCUAAUG
RNAcentral lists this long non-coding RNA (5572 nucleotides) under Malus domestica (apple). Its description in RNAcentral is "long non-coding RNA (MDOM_LNC005612)". The record is from RNAcentral. Lineage: Eukaryota; Viridiplantae; Streptophyta; Magnoliopsida; Rosales; Rosaceae.